RNAcentral lists this ribosomal RNA (301 nucleotides) under uncultured bacterium. RNAcentral's name for it is "partial 16S ribosomal RNA". It matches the Rfam family "Bacterial small subunit ribosomal RNA", at positions 509 to 807 of the family's 1533-position model. The record is from RNAcentral.
CAGCCGCCGCGGUAACACGAAGGGGGCUAGCGUUGUUCGGAUUUACUGGGCGUAAAGCGCACGUAGGCGGACUUUUAAGUCAGGGGUGAAAUCCCGGGGCUCAACCCCGGAACUGCCUUUGAUACUGGAAGUCUUGAGUAUGGUAGAGGUGAGUGGAAUUCCGAGUGUAGAGGUGAAAUUCGUAGAUAUUCGGAGGAACACCAGUGGCGAAGGCGGCUCACUGGACCAUUACUGACGCUGAGGUGCGAAAGCGUGGGGAGCAAACAGGAUUAGAUACCCCAGUAGUCCCUGUCUCUUAUAC